GAACAAUUCGGAUAGCGAACAAAGUCUUGGAAUGGAUUAUGUUCGUUAACCGAUCACCCACUGUAAUUUGUGAACAGGUGCACAAAACUUUGCCAAUUGGUUGUGGCUGUUGAGAUCAAGGUUACCUGCCUCAUUGCUUGCAAUCUCGUGAAUGUAACUGCAAGAGCAUCAUCUCUGUAUCUGAUUGAUAAUUGGCCAAUUGUAUAGCCACUGUGUGCAAUGAUUUACAUUUGCAUUGGCUACUGGUAACUGUAUUGGGACUGAUGCAGCAUUACAUCUUAAUGGCAGAUGACUGAGUCCAAUCAAAUUGAAGUUUCUCAAUGAGCAUUUUUAUUGGUUCUACGGAAUAAAUUGACCCAAUAUGUGAUGAUCAGAGAUAUCGUGCAAUUUUAUGAGAAAGAUGAAUGGAAAUCAUGAGUGACAUCAUAAUGCAUAUCUCAGCAGCAUUAGACAACAUACUGCUCAGCAAAACAAUCACUCUUGUAUGUUGCACAAGUGCAAGCACACUGCAUGCAAUUAUUUGUAAAUCCUGGUUAUAUGUAGAAGAACAGAAUUGAAGGCUUUUUUGAUGUUUUUCAUUGUAUUUUGUUGUAUUCUUUUAGGUGGAGAACAAGAACAGACAAGUUCUUUGGCAGCACAUGCUUAGAUACAUUGCUCCAGGAACAACUAUAGUUUCCAACAGUGUAUCCCAAUAUCAAGGCUAUAUGGCUUUAAAACUUUCUUUCAAGAAACCCAAACCACAGUCAAUGAGCCAAGGGAGAUUUGUUGACAUUGAUGAUCCUGAAGCCCAUUCUCAAAAAUCCAGAAUCAAAUUUAAUGGCUAAAAGUCCAUGAUGAUGAUAUGAAUGGGCAGGAGUCUGCAAGUUAACAGAAGGUGCUUCAGACAGGAAUCACAUUCUAUGUCUACAGAAUGUGAUUCCUGUCUGAAGCAAUAACACCAUCAGUAUAAUUCCAGCAUUUUCUCGAGAACAUCACAGCUAUCUAAUUAGGCUCCAGUCAAAAGUGCCUCCAAUUCUUCAAGACUGGAAUGCUUACUGACUAUCUGUCAAUCAACAAGUUAUCCUAUUUCAAUGUUAUCAUGCAUGAGGAUGAUGAUGAGGAACAGCAGGGAGAGAUGACCACGUAGUGAGUGCAGUUUGUGUGUGUAGUACAUGUAACCAAUGUAAACCUGUAAAUGUAAAAUAUAGAUUAAAUGAUUUUUCAAGCAAUAUCAAGCACCUUUGUCAUCGAUCCCCAGAACCUAGUAGAAAGUUGGGCCCAAUGACUUCACCCUAUUCUUUACUGAACAUCCAGAAGAGGCCAAUUGUUGCUGGGUAGCCAGAAGACAUUGUGAAAGACAUGGAUGAAGAAAGACAUUGUCAAAAACAAUCACUACAAACUCUUAUGAGCCAUUCCUGGAAAACUAUAACUGUGUUCAACUGAGCAUUAUCUUGAUGGACAAUGGUUAUUUCAGACCAGCAAGCAGGCUGCAUGCCACUCAAAAAUAAAGACAGAAUUGAAGUUGGAUUGAAGAAUUGAAGUUUAAGAUCAUUGUUUGGCACUUCAGCUCAACAGUGGUCCAUCACACACAUACACAAUGAUCAUCCAUUCCCAAACAGAAUUGGAAUUUGUUGUUAAAGACUAGUGUUGCGCUGAUAACUGAUUGAUAAAUUGAUUUUGACACUGCAACAACACUCUAGUGCGAAUUUUCUGACAGCUGGGGAAAUUAUGAUGAUUAUUAUAUCAAGUGACCAAAAAAGUUUGUCCACAUAUUUUCCAUUAGAAUGAUACCUGAAACUUUGUGCAGUUUUCUGUUGUGUGUCAUAGUGAUCAGAUAAUAUCAGGAAGAAGAAACAGGCAGUUCAUGAAACAGUGAAGAGUGAGGAAAAAGAUGGUUAACCUGACUGCAGUUAUUCAAGAGUGCUUACUCUAUGAGUUUAAACUGGGCACUAUUGUGAUUCAAGCAUCCCACAAGAUAAGUGUAGUAUUUGGAAAGAAUACAGUGAGCCCAAAAGUGCUCAGAAAAUUUUCAUUGGAUGAUGAGGACUCUUGAAGAUGCACCUCGCAAGAGAAGACAGCAUCAUUGAUGAGGAUAAACUGAAAGUGGCCAUUGAGUUAAUGCAAGACAAACAUGAUUUAACUUUUUUGCAAACUCCUAUGUGAAUGUUAAACCAUUUGAUUGCAUUUUCAUAGCCUAGGAAAAUUCUGGAAGCUGAGCAAAUGGAUUUCAUGUGAACUGAGUGCCAAUAACAAGCUUCAGAGGCUUAUGAUCUGCUUGUUGCUGCCUUUAAAAUCCAAUAAUGAGCCAUUUUUAGACUGGUUGUUGAUGUAUGAUAAAAAUGAGUUAAAUAUGACAACACCAAAUGUUUCUAUCAUUGGUUAUUGUCCAGUGAAUCUCUACUGCAUAUGCCAAAGCCAAAUGUCCAUUGAUAGAAAACUUUUUGUUGUGUGUCUCGUAACCAACAGCUGGAAUUGCUCAUUAUGAGUUUCUUUCCCUUGGCCAAACAAUCACUGCAAAUAUCUACUCAGAACAAUUGCAAUGGUCCAAGAUGCACUGCUCCAGAAACAACCUACACUCAUUAAUUGCAAAGGUAUUGUGUUCCUUCAAGACAAUGUGUGACUCCACAGCCUUAGUUGGAAAAUUCUAUCCCAUCCUCCAUUACCAUCAGACAACACCUUUUUUCGCACUGGAAAAUCAUAUGCACAACUGAUAGUUUUGAAACUGAGCAGCACUGGCAACAGGAUUGAAGGAUUUCUUCACUUCUAAAAAUUGGGACUUUUCCCAAUUUUUAGGAGUGGUAUUUACAAACUUGUGUCUCGUUGAAAUUAGGCUGUACAUUGUGAUGGUGCUAACUUUACUGAAUAAAAUAUCUUCAUUCACUUUUUACCUCAAAACCACACAAACUUUUUUGGUCACCUGAUAAUUAUUAACAAAUACCAAUAUAAAAAUUGCCAAUAAAAGUCAGUAUUCAUCUAGAUUAUUGAUAACAAUAAAUUUUAGUUUAAGUUUGAUAUAUUAGUUAUUGACACAGCACUAUUGAUAAUUUUCUGUAUUCAAUAUUUUUCGGUAUUUAUUGAAAUUUACCAAUUAUCAAUAUAAUAAAGAAAUCUCUGUAUCAAACCCAAUAUUGAUAUAGCACUGACCUACUAAAGUCCCAUGCUGCUACUUUGUCACGGCACCUCUGCAAAUGAAACCCACAAUAUUGAGAUGCUAACAGCAGUAACAGUGCAUGCAAUUUUGCCUCUGAUAGUUGCCUGCCAAUGGUACAGGAAGAAUCAAAUAACAAGUAUACUAAGAAUUAUGAACACAGUCUCUGUGAGCCUUUUUAUAGAAUAAUGGGAAAGAAAUUUUAAGGCCAUCUGGCUGCUUACCCAGCAUGCAAUCAGAUCUUGACUGUAAUUAUUUACAUACCUGUCUAAGACAUAUCUGGAUGUUGAGUUUUGUAAUAAUUGGUCAAUUCUAUCUGGGUAUAUAGCUUUUUUUGUCAAUGAGUAUAUUUAUUUAGAUUCUAUAAAUUACUGAUAAGAAUUGAAUUACAAUAAAAGUAAUAAAGUUUUGAAAAGUUUAUUUCAUUACCUG
Molecule: long non-coding RNA, 3559 nt
Organism: Centruroides sculpturatus (bark scorpion)
Lineage: Eukaryota; Metazoa; Arthropoda; Arachnida; Scorpiones; Buthidae
Exons: 3
Source: RefSeq, a predicted model, not a curated record